AAGCGUUUAUGACCAGACUUGGGCUUGGUUAAUCAUCUGGGGUUCUCCCCAGUGCACUUUUCCAGUCCAGGCCAGCAUCAGUUUUCCCCGGGGGAUAAAGGCGGCGGGAAUGUGGCUCUCUUCGGGGAGUGUUAUAGCCCAUUGUAGAAUACUCCUGGUGUGGACCGAGGACCGCGCCUUGUGCAAGGAUGCUGGCGUAAUGGUCGUCAGCGA
Molecule: ribosomal RNA, 213 nt
Filed under: Nectriaceae sp.
Lineage: Eukaryota; Fungi; Ascomycota; Sordariomycetes; Hypocreales; Nectriaceae
Description: partial large subunit ribosomal RNA
Source: RNAcentral